This 255-nucleotide ribosomal RNA is filed under the name uncultured bacterium. Its description in RNAcentral is "partial 16S ribosomal RNA". It matches the Rfam family "Bacterial small subunit ribosomal RNA", at positions 78 to 334 of the family's 1533-position model. The record is from RNAcentral.
UCUUUCUUUGCUGACGACCGGCGCACGGGUGAGUAACACGUAUCCAACCUGCCCUUUACUCGGGGAUAGCCUUUCGAAAGAAAGAUUAAUACCCGAUAGCAUAAUGAUUCCGCAUGGUUUCAUUAUUAAAGGAUUCCGGUAAAGGAUGGGGAUGCGUUCCAUUAGGUUGUUGGUGGGGUAACGGCCCACCAAGCCUUCGAUGGAUAGGGGUUCUGAGAGGAAGGUCCCCCACAUUGGAACUGAGACACGGUCCAA